Molecule: transfer RNA, 72 nt
Filed under: Camelus bactrianus (Bactrian camel)
Lineage: Eukaryota; Metazoa; Chordata; Mammalia; Artiodactyla; Camelidae
Also listed under: 2 other names
Rfam family: tRNA
About the family: Transfer RNA (tRNA) molecules are approximately 80 nucleotides in length.
Source: Rfam by way of RNAcentral
GAAGGUAUAGCUCAGUGGCAAAGUGGGUGCUUAGUAGGCAUGAGGUCCUGGGUUCAAUCCCCAGUACCUCCA